Molecule: ribosomal RNA, 397 nt
Filed under: uncultured bacterium
Lineage: Bacteria
Description: partial 16S ribosomal RNA
Rfam family: Bacterial small subunit ribosomal RNA
Source: RNAcentral
GACGAACGCUGGCGGCGUGCUUAACCCAUGCAAGUCGAACGAAGUGGCGAACGGGUGAGUACUACGUGGGUAACCUGCCCUCCUUUUUGGGAUAAGCCUUGGAAACGGGGUCUAAUACCGAAUAAAGGGGGAUGGGCUCGCGGCCUAUCAGCUUGUUGGUGGGGUGAUGGCCUACCAAGGCGGUGACGGGUAGCCGGCCUGAGAGGGUGACCGGCCACAGUGGGACUGAGAUACGGCCCGGACUCCGACGGGAGGCAGCAGGGGGGGAGAUUGAACAAUGGGCGAAAGCCGGAUGCAGCGAGGCCGCGUGAACGAAGAAGGCUUUCGAGUCGUAAAGUUCUUUCGGUACCAGAAGAAAAAGCCCCGGCUAACUACGUGCCAGCAGCCGCGGUAAUUC